AUAGAGUAGUUGCCCUGGGCCCUUGUAUGGGCCCGUCCGGGCACAUCUACCACCCUUUGUUUACCACACCAUUGUUGCUUUGGCAGGCCUGUCUCUAGACUGCUGGCUCCGGCUGGCGAGCGCCUGCCGAGGGACCCAAACUCUGUUUGUCUAUACUGUCUGAGUACUAUAUAAUAGUUA
RNAcentral lists this unclassified non-coding RNA (180 nucleotides) under uncultured Pseudeurotiaceae. RNAcentral describes it as "sequence contains ITS1". The record is from RNAcentral. Lineage: Eukaryota; Fungi; Ascomycota; Leotiomycetes; Thelebolales; Pseudeurotiaceae.